Cercocebus atys (sooty mangabey) is the source of this 81-nucleotide microRNA precursor. Lineage: Eukaryota; Metazoa; Chordata; Mammalia; Primates; Cercopithecidae. The record is from Ensembl.
GAAACUGCUGAAGCUGCCAUGUCUAAGAAGAAAACUUUGGAGAAAAAUUUUCUUCUUAGACAUGGCAGCGUCAACAGUUUC